GAUGAACGCUGGCGGCGUGCCUAAUACAUGCAAGUCGAGCGAACGGACGAGAAGCUUGCUUCUCUGAUGUUAGCGGCGGACGGGUGAGUAACACGUGGAUAACCUACCUAUAAGACUGGGAUAACUUCGGGAAACCGGAGCUAAUACCGGAUAAUAUUUUGAACCGCAUGGUUCAAAAGUGAAAGACGGUCUUGCUGUCACUUAUAGAUGGGUCCGCGCUGCAUUAGCUAGUUGGUAAGGUAACGGCUUACCAAGGCAACGAUGCAUAGACGACCUGAGAGGGUGAUCGGCCACACUGGAACUGAGACACGGUCCAGACUCCUACGGGAGGCAGCAGUAGGGAAUCUUCCGCAAUGGGCGAAAGCCUGACGGAGCAACGCCGCGUGAGUGAUGAAGGUCUUCGGAUCGUAAAACUCUGUUAUUAGGGAAGAACAUAUGUGUAAGUAACUGUGCACAUCUUGACGGUACCUAAUCAGAAAGCCACGGCUAACUACGUG
Molecule: ribosomal RNA, 497 nt
Filed under: uncultured bacterium
Lineage: Bacteria
Description: partial 16S ribosomal RNA
Rfam family: Bacterial small subunit ribosomal RNA
Source: RNAcentral